This 261-nucleotide long non-coding RNA is filed under the name Dromaius novaehollandiae (emu). RNAcentral's name for it is "lncRNA (ENSDNVG00000006877.1)". Lineage: Eukaryota; Metazoa; Chordata; Aves; Casuariiformes; Dromaiidae. The record is from RNAcentral.
GCUACCCCCUUCUCUUUCUGUCUUGCUUGAGCUUUUAUUUACUAGUUUUUUUUCUUUUUUCCUUUGUUAGAAGUUGCUAUUUGCAGUUGAAGUCUGCUGUGAAAGUGACCCUAGUUGGGCAAUGUGGUGAGCAAAAGAGGCUUCAUGCUGAUUCCUGUGUUCCUGCAUAGGGAAAAAGGGGCUACUCGGUGCUGGCUGCUCCAGUUGCAUGCUUCUGAAUGGCUCUUCACCUCAUCAGUCGCCUGUGAACAAUUGAGAUAG